CCUACGGGAGGCAGCAGUGAGGAAUAUUGGUCAAUGGACGAGAGUCUGAACCAGCCAAGUAGCGUGAAGGAUGACUGCCCUAUGGGUUGUAAACUUCUUUUAUAUGGGAAUAAAAUGUUCCACGUGUGGGAUUUUGUAUGUACCAUAUGAAUAAGGAUCGGCUAACUCCGUGCCAGCAGCCGCGGUAAUACGGAGGAUCCGAGCGUUAUCCGGAUUUAUUGGGUUUAAAGGGAGCGUAGGUGGAUUGUUAAGUCAGUUGUGAAAGUUUGCGGCUCAACCGUAAAAUUGCAGUUGAAACUGGCAGACUUGAGUAUAGUAGAGGUGGGCGGAAUUCGUGGUGUAGCGGUGAAAUGCUUAGAUAUCACGAAGAACUCCGAUUGCGAAGGCAGCUCACUGGACUGCAACUGACACUGAGGCUCGAAAGUGUGGGUAUCAAACAGGAUUAGAUACCCUUGUAGUC
This 460-nucleotide ribosomal RNA is filed under the name uncultured bacterium. RNAcentral's name for it is "partial 16S ribosomal RNA". It matches the Rfam family "Bacterial small subunit ribosomal RNA", at positions 338 to 795 of the family's 1533-position model. The record is from RNAcentral.